This is a long non-coding RNA of Chrysolophus pictus (golden pheasant), 1979 nucleotides long. Lineage: Eukaryota; Metazoa; Chordata; Aves; Galliformes; Phasianidae. The record is from Ensembl.
GUGUGUGAAUGAGGACUCCCCGCUGGAAUCUGUGCCGAGCAAAGCCCGGGCGAGGAAUGGAUCCACGCGCCUUGGAGCUGUGUUUGAGUGGGGGAGAGCGGGCAUGGCUGAAGGUUUGUCACUUGCCCUGGCUGUCCCAGGUGUGGGCUGAAGGACAAACUCGAAUGGCCUUGAAAGCUCUGAAGAUGCUGCUUCAAAUGAAAACAAAGCUGUUAAUGGCAGUGAUUCUCCACUCCUCACAAAUGGAAGCUGCAAACCGUCUCGACCUCCCAGGCCUUCUAGACCACCUCCACCCACAGCCCGCAGACCCACAUCAGUGGCUGGUACGUCUUCUAGGGCCAGACAUGCACUUCAAAGCUGUGGAUUCUCUGUACAGUCUUAAGAUGGACAUAACGUUUCCUCACGCGUGUUUUGAACUGCAAUUUUUUUCAUGGUAAAUUCUUGGAUAUAUAACUUGUAUUGGAACAGUUUGCAUUCAGUAUCAUUGUUCCUCUUACGAGUAAUUUCUUGUUUCCAUGACUGAUAAGUGAGGAUUGGAGUGAUUCUGCUAAAUAUGUUGGAGCUGGUGCCCAAAGAACACGAGUGAGUGCCACAGUUGCAUUCAGUUAAUUUUAAGGAGACCUGUGUCUGCUGAAGGACUUACAGAACUGUCUCAAGUAGAUCAUAGUGGGGCUUGAAAGACGAGUAAUUUGUUUCUGCAGUCCUGGUUAAAUUACUUGAAACAGCAGCCCUUCAAACAUUGAUUGCAUGGGAACAAAUGCGUUUUUUAGUCUCUCUUAUAAUUUAGAACCUGCAAAGCUUUAAGACAGUGCUAGGUGCUUUCAGGUUAACUCCUCCCCAUGCAUGGCUCCUGCAACUGCUGCACUCACCACACCUCCAGUAUCAAGACAAGUCCAGCCAGUAACUCCUGCAACUCAGGCACUACCUACAGUCAGUCAAGGUCCUCUUCCACCUGGAACAUCGAGGACCGUGAGCGGCUGAGAAAUGGAGCUGGGGGCCAGGGGGGCCAUAGGUGCCUGUGUCACAAACUUCCUGUGUGGCCCCUGCAAGCUCCUGCUCCCCUCGCCUGCAAGUGGAGCAGUGCUCAAGUUGGAGGAGUCUUUUCCUCGGCAGGCGGUAAAAGACGGCGCAGCUGCAAGUUUUGUGCCCUUCCUUGUGACUGGAAAGCAGCCUCCUGGAGAGCGGGAGAGCAGCAGGCUGUUGCUGUGUGGCUGCUGAAGGGCAUUUCUCCCCAGCUGAGAUCCCUGAGCCCACGCUGGCGGAGAAUGUGCUGCGCCACGAUCUCUUCUGUGAGCCACUUUGCAGCUUCUCUGUGCGCUGGCUGUAAUCGUGCCGGAUUCCAGGUGCCAUAAGCCAGACUCGCUCAGUCUUGGGACUAAGGCUUGGGAGACAGUGAAGAAACCCAAGGCAAGCAACCCAAGCUGAAACACAAGGCAAGCGCUGCUCAGCUGAGGAAGAAAGCCAAGAAGGAAAGCAAAAAGAACCGAUAAAGGCUUGACGAGAAGGCCCACAGGACACUAGAAUCACCUGGAAUGCUUCCUCAGAGGUGGCACCAAAGGCAGCUGACGGAGUGGUCUGGUUUUCUGGCACGGCCUGCUUUCCUUGUCACGGACAGUGCGGAGGAGCCAAGGCAACUGGAAGGGAAGGGCUUGUGCUGCAUUCCAAGCAAAGAGGACUUGCCGGAGGCAGGGCUUCAUCUCUGGCAAGAGAUGCAGAUGCUGUGUUCUUUGAGGUGCUGUCUCUUCAGGGCCAGGGCCGGUCUAGUAUGAGAUUGAAAUACGGCUAGCCGGGCCUGGAGAGAGAGGAGGUGACGUAGCCCCAGGGUCAGGCUUCUCCUUGUGUCUGACUGGAGGCUGAAGGACUCAUUGCUGAGCAGAAAUCCUGCACGCUGGGGUUUCAUUUUGGGCUGCGUUGAUAAAUACAACCCAAAUCCUUUUGUAUUGAAUAAAAGGAAACCAACUUUUUAAAACUGGUGCUGC